UUUCUCUUACACCCAAAGAAACACAAUAACAAGAACAAAGAACUCUCAAAGAGAAUCUUGAUAUAGUGUCAAGAUUUCUAGCUUUUCAUAGUAUUUUUUAGACUGUCAGUAUAUAUUCUUAAAUCCGACUAGAUAGUAUAACAAGCCUUAUCUGAAAAGAUUUAUUAUGAAGAACAUUAUGAAGGUUGUGCUUGUGCUUUCUAUCAUCAUGUGCCUCCUUCUAACACCUACCGUUGCUCGUCGAGCUAGCUUUGGCGGGGUCAGUCGGGGAACCAAAGCUAGUAGUGGUUCUGGUGCAACUACCACAUUGGUCCCAGCAGCUCGUGCUGCGCGAAGAAGCAACAGCUCAUCAUCAUCAACUACCUCCUUUGGAUGGUCCUCCAUGGCUAUGGCUUUAUUUGCUUAUCUUACAUUUGUUUACUUUUGAGCACUCGUAUAUGUUUACUUAAAAUAAUAUAGUGUACGUUCUUUAUUAUUUAAUUUGUUAAGCAAGUGAGGGAGGAAGAAGUCAUGUUUUUAAUGAAGUGAUUUGCAUAGAAUUAGUGUCCAGUAUAUUUUCUUGAAUGUUCAAUAUUGGGUUAUAAGGAGAUCUUGGGUUAUGUUUGGAUACACCUUAAACACUUCAAAGUCUCUUCUACAUAUAUAAUUCCAAUCUACUUAUUAUUAUGGGUGGCGAACGAGCGGGUCGGGAUGAAUAUGGGCGAGUUAAAAAUAGGAAAUGUAAAAAUAGAUUAUCCGAUCCGACCAUUUUUAAUACGUAUAGAAAAUGGGUUAAUCGGCCGAUAAUAUAUGUAACCGUAUUAUCCAUGGUUUUUGAAUAUGAUUCUUCCAAGCUUGAGGAACCCCCAAUUUGAAUCUUUACAAAUGAAAAAGGGCCAAAACUGUCCCUUACCUAUUCGCUUAGGUUUAAAAUACCCUUCGUCUACCUACUUUGUAAAAAUUGUCCUUACCGUUAAAAAUCUGGCCCAUUCAUGCCCUUAUUUUUCAUGGACCUUUGUUGAAUAAAAAAUAUUUUAUUAUAUAUGACGUGGCAAUUGCUUAUUGGUCAAAAUUAAAAAUUCUACUAUAACCCAGAUCUGAUCCGUAAAUAACCCACCCACGAUCCAUCUUAGUUGAUCCAACCCGUUAAAUCCUUUUUAGCCCCUCAAACACUCGAUUCUAUACAUGACUCAUGAUCCAAUCAUUUUUUGCUUUCAUUUAUCAAUUUUUCAUAUUUUUCUUCCUAUUAAUUUAUUAUUUGGUACCAUAUCCCUUUCCCUGUUUAUCUUUCCCAACUUAAUCACGCCGACAAUUACCCAACCAAAUCACUGCCAACGAACUGUGAAGCUAAUUUGCUCACAUGAUUUCAAUUAACUCCAAAAAGCUACAUGAUGACACAACAAAUAUAACUUACUCAAAAAGAUAACUUAUUAAACCAUAAAAUUUUUAAAAUGAACCAUUAAUUUAGUUCCAAAGAAUAAGUGAUUUCACUCAUUUAACAAAAAAAAAUGUUAAUUUACAAAUUAAAUUGAAGCCGAAAAAAUAUGAAAAAAAUCUUAGUGGGGAAGGGAGAUUUGUGGGUAUUGAAGGGUGAGGAUCUAAAAGUUGAAACCAACUGUGGUCCUCUGUCGGCAAUGGUGAGUUAUUGUACUUUGGCCAAGGAGGAGAAUGAUUAGAGAAAAUACAGAGUGGGAGGUCAGGGAUGGAAGAGGAGAAGUUGAAAAGUGAAGUUAGGGCAUUUUUAAAAGCAGGUCAUGGGUCGGGUAUGGAUAUUUUUGGUCAUGGAGUGGGCUAAUAAGUGGAUGUGGGAUGAGGUUUUAAUAGGAACUUAACACAUAAUAAGUAAUAAAAAAAGUAUCUUAAUCAAAAUAGGGCCGUUAGUUUCCAGGAUAUGAGUGGGUCGGAAAGUUAACAUUAGGGACAAUUUUUCCAAAAAUAGGUGGACAAAAGAUAUUAUUAAACCUAAGCGAAUAGGUUAGGGGUAGUUUUGGCCAUUUUCGCUUUACAAAUGUAAAAGUUAAACUCAUUGGUUAUUCAUUUUCUAAGUAUAUAAUAUGGUUCUUAUCCAUAUUUGACCAAUUUUUAAAAAGUUCAUUAUCCAAUCUAUUUUUAGUGGAUAAUAUAGAUGGAUAACUCUAUUUUUAAUCCAUUUUACCACCACUACCGCCUAUGCACACCCUUACUUUUGUGUCAUUAUAUUAAGAAGUUGACCACAUUUUUAAUAUUAGACCAGUUAUUUGAAAUUCAGAAGGGCUCUUUUCAUAGACAUACUAAAUUACGAAGUUAUUUACUUGAAGUAUCUGAAAUUUGCUAUAUACCAAAACACUUGCUAUGUUUUUUUCUACAAAUUAUGUAUGUUACAUCUAAGAUUCGGUCUCUCUCCUCUCUCUCCCUUUUGCUCAUCUCUCCUCUUCUCUCUCCCUGUUCUCUGUCGUCUCUCUUAUAUUCCCCUAAUCCCUCUUGUUACCAAAAGAUGCUACAACUCUAAAAUCGAACCCUAGUACUUAAUUUGUACAAUUAGUAGCCAAAUCAAAAGACCACAGUCAUCUUCUUCGUAGAAAUUGACUUCGAAAUUUUUUACUCCAAGCCUAGCAAAUUAGAUUCAAUCGCCUCCAAACAUACAAUUAAACUUCGUAUUAUAUUUCCAACAAGAAACUAUAUUACCCGUUUGAUCUCUCAUACAAAUUCCAAAUCUUGGAUGAAAUUCGAUUUCUAAAAGAGAACCAAUGACGCUCUUAAUGGCGGAACUUGAAAUUUCUCCACCCCAAGUUUUCAAUUCAAACAACACAAAUCAGUGCAACAUGAGUCGGUUUGGAAAUCAUCUUCGGCUAUUUUUUCCUUUAGCAAAUCGAGCAAGAAAAGAAGAAUAUAUGGUACAAUAGCAUACAAAUUAAAAUACAAAUAUCGCACAAAAUUGAUACAAAUUGGUGCAUCUAUAGCAGCAUACAAAUUUGGUACAACAACAUAGUUUUUGCAUGGAAAAUGGCUAUUGUUACAAAUCUGAGAUAACAAGUAACACAGUAUAUCUAUUCAACAAAUGUUUUGGCCGAUUUUGCCUACUUCAAACUCAUUUAACCCAUCCAACUCUUCCAAGGUUGGGCUGAUCAUUGACUCGCUCAUUCGUUGAACUCAGUCCAUAUUAACCCAAUUCAUCUCAACCCAUCUAAAUUUGGCUGUUUUUUAGCUCAAAUUGAUCAAUAAGUAACUUUGUUAAAAUAUCUUUAAAAUAUUUUUUUUGGUUGUUAUAUAUGACCAUAACAAAAAAAAAAAAAAAGCUUUAUAUGAUAAUCAAACAAUUCAUAAGUAACACACAUUAAUUAAAGUUUGGUAAGAGUUGAGGAGGUUGAACUAUGACGCAAAUUUUAGUCCUCUUGACCCAUUCCAUCUCACCCCAAAUAAUUUUUAAGCGGAUCAAUAACCCGCUUAUUUAUUGAUUGAUCAAACCAUUUUAUAACGGAUCAAUAACUCUUUCUUAAUAACGGCAUGUUUAUAUUGGUAUCUUAUAUAUUUUUUAUUGCAUCCUAACUACUCAAUGCAAAUCGUGCAUGCAAAAAUACUUCAAAGACCACUUGUAAAAUUAGGAUAAGCUUCGUCCGACAUCACUAUUGACUUUCAAUAUAGAACGCCAGUCAAAAGCAAUAUCCUUAAUUAGAAACAAUAUAUAAGCAGGAAAUCAUUAAUUCGAAAUUUGAAACCUUUGGAAGCGGUCAACGCUUUAUUUUUCUAAUUAUUGAACGAUUUUUCAGACUACUUUUAACCAGGUCAUAUAAAAUUUCUCAACGCUUAAUUUUUAAACAAAUUUUUGGAUGAUGCUCCCUCCGUCCAAAUUUAUUUAGCAUUAUUUUCUUAUUACUGCAUUUCAAAAAGAUUGAUACUAUUUUUAUAUUGAAAAUAAUUAACUUUAAACCCUCAUUUUACCUGAGAAAUUUUUAUAGCUUUUAAGAUCGUAAGUGUAAGAGAUUUUAUUGCCAUACAAAUAUUAUAUCAUAUUAAGUGUUGAGUUUGGUAAAAACAUGUAAUAUAUAACAGAAAAAUAUUCUUUUCCUAGUCUUCAAGUUGGACCUUUAGCGAAUUUUUCAGACCGUGUAAAAGAAAAUUCCUUGCUCCUCUCUAACCAAAUUGCCUUUUAUUUAUUCAUAUAACCAAAUUGCGCGCCUUUCUACUUAAUGAGAAAAUGACCGGUGGCUAUUCCAAUUGUGGACUUUCCGUGUUCAGGCCACACUAUAAAUAGACAAGCUUAAUUGGUGCUUUCUUCAUAUCCAAACUUUUCUCUUACAUCCAAAGAAAGACAAUAACAAGAUCAAAGAACUCUCAAAGAGAAUCUUGAUAUAGUGUCAAGAUUUUUAGCUUUUUACAGUAUUUUUUACACUGUCAGUACAUAUCAUUAAAUCCGGCUAAAUAGUAUAACAAGUCUUAUCUGAACAAAAAAAUUAUGAAGAACAUUAUGAAGGUUAUGCUUGUGCUUUCUAUCAUCAUGUGCAUCCUCCUAACACCUACCGUUGCUCGUGGUGCAAGCUUUGGCGGGGUUAGUCGUGGAACCAAGACUAGUAGUGGUUCUGGUGGUGGCGGUAGUAGAACUACAACUACCACAUUCGUCCCAUUAGCUCGUGUUGCGCGAAGAAGCAACAGCUCAUCAUCAUCAACUACUACCUCCUUUGGAUGGUCCUCCAUGGCUAUAGCUUCAUUUGCUUACAUAAUAUUUGUUUAAUUUUGAGCACUUGUACAUAGUAUUUACUUAAAAUAUCUUGUUAGUUAUCCAUUAAUGUACGUUCUUUAUUAUUUGGUAAGCAAGUGAGCAGGGCCGGCCGGAGGGCUAGGCAAGUAAGGAUAUGUCUUAGGCCCCCAAUUUUUAGGGGCCUUGGUUUUAAAGGAAUAUGUUAUGUGUUAAUUUUUUCCUUUAAAAAGCUUAAGCAUUUUAUAAUAAAAGUUUAUCAUUGUGAAAUUGAUGUAACUAUUGAGGAAUGGAAAAGUCCUCCCGAGUAAAGUAAACAUAUUUUGAUGAUUUUCUUAAACUUGAU
Molecule: long non-coding RNA, 4997 nt
Filed under: Nicotiana tabacum (common tobacco)
Lineage: Eukaryota; Viridiplantae; Streptophyta; Magnoliopsida; Solanales; Solanaceae
Description: long non-coding RNA (NTAB_LNC003168)
Source: RNAcentral